UACGUAGGGUGCGAGCGUUAAUCGGAAUUACUGGGCGUAAAGCGUGCGCAGGCGGUGAUGUAAGACAGGUGUGAAAUCCCCGGGCUUAACCUGGGAACUGCAUUGUGACUGCAUCGCUGGAGUGCGGCAGAGGGGGAUGGAAUUCCGCGUGUAGCAGUGAAAUGCGUAGAUAUGCGGAGGAACACCGAUGGCGAAGGCAAUCCCCUGGGCCUGCACUGACGCUCCAUGCACGAAAGCGUGGGGAGCAAACAGG
This 253-nucleotide ribosomal RNA is filed under the name uncultured bacterium. RNAcentral describes it as "partial 16S ribosomal RNA". It matches the Rfam family "Bacterial small subunit ribosomal RNA", at positions 524 to 776 of the family's 1533-position model. The record is from RNAcentral.